CCUACGGGGGGCAGCAGUGGGGGAUAUUGCACAAUGGGCGGAAGCCUGAUGCAGCGACGCCGCGUGGGGGAUGACGGCUUUCGGGUUGUAAACCUCUUUCGCUGGGGAACAAGGCCUCCAAGUUUUCUUGGGGUUGAGGGUACCUGGAUAAGAAGCGCCGGCUAACUACGUGCCAGCAGCCGCGGUAAUACGUAGGGCGCGAGCGUUGUCCGGAAUUAUUGGGCGUAAAGAGCUUGUAGGCGGCUUGUUGCGCCUGCUGUGAAAACUUGGGGCUUAACCCUGAGCGUGCAGUGGGUACGGGCAGGCUAGAGUGUGGUAGGGGUGAUUGGAACUCCAGGUGUAGCGGUGGAAUGCGCAGAUAUCUGGAAGAACACCGAUGGCGAAGGCAGGUCACUGGGCCAUUACUGACGCUGAGAAGCGAAAGCGUGGGGAGCGAACAGGAUUAGAUACCCCUGUAGUC
RNAcentral lists this ribosomal RNA (460 nucleotides) under uncultured Actinobaculum sp. Its description in RNAcentral is "bacterial SSU rRNA". It matches the Rfam family "Bacterial small subunit ribosomal RNA", at positions 338 to 795 of the family's 1533-position model. The record is from RNAcentral. Lineage: Bacteria; Bacillati; Actinomycetota; Actinomycetes; Actinomycetales; Actinomycetaceae.